AACGAACGCUGGCGGCAGGCUUAACACAUGCAAGUCGAGCGCCCCGCGAGGGGAGCGGCAGACGGGUGAGUAACGCGUGGGGAUGUACCCAAAGGUGCGGAAUAACUCAGGGAAACUUGAGCUAAUACCGCAUGUGCCCGAGAGGGGAAAGAUUUAUCGCCUUUGGAUCAACCCGCGUCAGAUUAGCUAGUUGGUAGGGUAAUGGCCUACCAAGGCGACGAUCUGUAGCUGGUCUGAGAGGAUGAUCAGCCACACUGGGACUGAGACACG
Molecule: ribosomal RNA, 270 nt
Filed under: uncultured bacterium
Lineage: Bacteria
Description: partial 16S ribosomal RNA
Rfam family: Bacterial small subunit ribosomal RNA
Source: RNAcentral